This 497-nucleotide ribosomal RNA is filed under the name uncultured bacterium. RNAcentral describes it as "partial 16S ribosomal RNA". It matches the Rfam family "Bacterial small subunit ribosomal RNA", at positions 28 to 507 of the family's 1533-position model. The record is from RNAcentral.
GACGAACGCUGGCGGCGUGCCUAAUACAUGCAAGUUGAGCGAUGAAGAUUGGUGCUUGCACCAAUUUGAAGAGCAGCGAACGGGUGAGUAACGCGUGGGGAAUCUGCCUUUGAGCGGGGGACAACAUUUGGAAACGAAUGCUAAUACCGCAUAACAACUUUAAACAUAAGUUUUAAGUUUGAAAGAUGCAAUUGCAUCACUCAAAGAUGAUCCCGCGUUGUAUUAGCUAGUUGGCGAGGUAAAGGCUCACCAAGGCGAUGAUACAUAGCCGACCUGAGAGGGUGAUCGGCCACAUUGGGAAGGAGACACGGCCCAAACUCCUACGGGAGGCAGCAGUAGGGAAUCUUCGGCAAUGGACGAAAGUCUGACCGAGCAACGCCGCGUGAGUGAAGAAGGUUUUCGGAUCGUAAAACUCUGUUGGUAGAGAAGAACGUUGGUGAGAGUGGAAAGCUCAUCAAGUGACGGUAACUACCCAGAAAGGGACGGCUAACUACGUG